GACGAACGCUGGCGGCUUUCUUAACACAUGCAAGUCGAACGGAAAGGCCUCUUUCGGGGGGUACUCGAGUGGCGAACGGGUGAGUAACACGUGAGUAACCUGCCCUUGACUUUGGGAUAACUUCAGGAAACUGGGGCUAAUACCGGAUAGGAGCUCCUGCUGCAUGGUGGGGGUUGGAAAGUUUCGGCGGUUGGGGAUGGACUCGCGGCUUAUCAGCUUGUUGGUGGGGUAGUGGCUUACCAAGGCUUUGACGGGUAGCCGGCCUGAGAGGGUGACCGGCCUAAUUGGGACUGAGAUACGGCCCAGACUCCGACGGGAGGAAGGAGGGGGGAAGAUUGAACAAUGGGUGGAAGCCGGAUGAAGCAACGCCGUGUGCGGGAUGAAGGACAUAGGGGUGGAAACCGCUUUCGCUCAUGACGAAGCUUUGUGUGACGGUAGUGGGUAAAGAAGCAAAGGCUAAAUACGUG
This 467-nucleotide ribosomal RNA is filed under the name uncultured bacterium. RNAcentral's name for it is "partial 16S ribosomal RNA". It matches the Rfam family "Bacterial small subunit ribosomal RNA", at positions 28 to 507 of the family's 1533-position model. The record is from RNAcentral.